UGGGGAAUAUUGCACAAUGGGCGCAAGCCUGAUGCAGCCAUGCCGCGUGUGUGAAGAAGGCCUUCGGGUUGUAAAGCACUUUCAGCGAGGAGGAAGGUGGUGAACUUAAUACGUUCAUCAAUUGACGUUACUCGCAGAAGAAGCACCGGCUAACUCCGUGCCAGCAGCCGCGGUAAUACGGAGGGUGCAAGCGUUAAUCGGAAUUACUGGGCGUAAAGCGCACGCAGGCGGUUUGUUAAGUCAGAUGUGAAAUCCCCGGGCUCAACCUGGGAACUGCAUUUGAAACUGGCAAGCUAGGAGUCUCGUAGAGGGGGGUAGAAUUCCAGGUGUAGCGGUGAAAUGCGUAGAGAUCUGGAGGAAUACCGGUGGCGAAGGCGGCCCCCUGGACGAAGACUGACGCUCA
Molecule: ribosomal RNA, 403 nt
Filed under: uncultured bacterium
Lineage: Bacteria
Description: partial 16S ribosomal RNA
Rfam family: Bacterial small subunit ribosomal RNA
Source: RNAcentral